CAUUUCCUUUUUUUUUUUUUUUUACGAAAAUUUUGGUCAAAGGCCUUUUGUGGAAAAGUGGGCAGCCAUUAGCCACCAUUUCCUCCUUGCUGCCCUCGUUUUCUCCUCCCUCAGCCCUCUCUGGUAUUCUUCUUCUCUUGCUUCUUCUUCUUCUCUCUCGGUUCUUCCUUUCCUCUUCCUAUUCUUAAUCUGUUCUCCAUUUCUCUGUUGGUAUCCUUCUUCUUCUCCUCUUCUCCGCCGUUUCUCCGUUCCUUUGCUGUUCUUCUUCUCUUCUUCUUAUAUCUCUGCUGCUACGUUUCUCCUCUACCAGGUAUUCUUCUUCCUCUUCUCUUCUUGCUGUUAUUCUGUUCUCCAUCUCUCUCUUUCUUUUCUUUCCUAUGCUGGUCUAUAUAUUUCUCUUUUAUAUUUUGUUCUUUACUUGUAAGUCGGCAUUGUAAUGGAAAAAUCAAUCAAGGGAACGAAUGGCUGAUUUUGUUUGUAAUUUCAGUUUAUAUUCCUUCAAUUUGAGUAAUUACAAUCUAUCUUUGCAUCUUGAUUUUAUAAUUGCUCGUUAUUGGUUGAGUUUGGCUGGAAAUUAAUUGAUUUUGGUUGAAGUUGGACUCCAACCUUAACACAUUUUCCUCUAUUACAAAGUUCCUCUUUAUUACGCUUUGCUCUUCAGCAGUGACGUGAUCCUUUGACCCACCAUCUUUUGACCCCUCUCUCUGUGUACUGGAAAUGGGCAAAGACUUGGGCAAUCAUGUAAGCG
This 748-nucleotide long non-coding RNA is filed under the name Olea europaea subsp. europaea. The record is from RNAcentral. Lineage: Eukaryota; Viridiplantae; Streptophyta; Magnoliopsida; Lamiales; Oleaceae.